This 311-nucleotide long non-coding RNA is filed under the name Androctonus crassicauda. Lineage: Eukaryota; Metazoa; Arthropoda; Arachnida; Scorpiones; Buthidae. The record is from RNAcentral.
UUCUGUCUUACUUGAGUUUCUUCUAAACUUUCAGACGACCUUUUAAAAUGCUUUCUAGAAGCAUCAUUUUCGUUUUUUUUCUUCUGUCUGUCUCAUGUCCAUGUUGCCACUUCAUUUUGGAACAGAAUGACUCCUGGCAGAAAAAGGUUGCAGUCUCUGUUCUCCAAAAAACAAUAAUAAUAAUUAUCCCAGGGGACUUAUCACAAAAUUCAGAUUUUUCCCAUCAAGAUGAUAGCAUUACACAAUUAUGUGCAAAAUUUCAACAUUAUAAUGCAUUUGGAAGUAUGAUUUCAAAACAGACAUAUAUACAU